Molecule: RNA transcript, 4062 nt
Organism: Nelumbo nucifera (sacred lotus)
Lineage: Eukaryota; Viridiplantae; Streptophyta; Magnoliopsida; Proteales; Nelumbonaceae
Gene name: C2 and GRAM domain-containing protein At1g03370-like
Source: RefSeq, a predicted model, not a curated record
UUUUUCAAUUUUCAACGUAAAUGAUAAAUCGCGUUUUCAUUUAAUUUGCACACAAAAAAGAAAAAAAAUGAAGCUUUUGGUACGUGUGAUCGAAGCGCGAAAUCUACGCGCAUUGGAUCUUAAUGGUUCAAGUGAUACUUAUGUUCGGUUACACCUGGGAAAGCAAAAAUUUAAGACGAAGGUGUUGAAGAAGAACUUGAAUCCUUCUUGGGGCGAGGAGUUCAGUUUUGGGGUUGAGGACCUCCGUGAAAAGCUCGUUGUCUCUGUUCUAGUCGAGGAUAAAUACUUCAACGACGACUUCGUGGGCAAGCUCAAAGUGCCCGUUUCCAAGGUUUUCGACGCCGAGAAUAAGUCUCUCGGCACUACCUGGUAUCCUCUGAAACCCAAGAAUAAGAAGAAGUCCAAGAACAAAGAAUGUGGCGAAAUUCUUCUCACCAUAUCUUUAUCUCAAAACAACUCUUUCUUAGACGAGAAAUUGUCCCGUACUGGUGAUAAUGUGCCACAAAUGAGGAAUUCUGUCGACUUAAUAAGUGAAUCAUUUUCUGGAUCCCCCAGUGGACCCUUAAAAUCCCCUUAUGCAGCGGGAAUGGAGGAGACCAUUUCUGCAAAGGAUGAAAAAAUGUCAUCACAGACACUUAGUGGUCUGAUAGCUCAAAUUUUUCUUAAACAGGGGGAAACAAUAUCUCCUAGCGCUAGCAGUAGAAGUAUUGCUACCGUGGACUCACCUGAGACGUCCAAAGUUGAAGUUAAUGAGAAUAAAUCCGAAGAACAGUCCUUUGGUGGCAAUUUUGAAGAAGCAAUAAGGAGCAUGUCAGAAAGAGAUCAAGGUGGGGAGGUACCUGGCAAUUUACCAGGAGGGAUACUUCUCGAUCAAUCUUAUAUUAUUGCACCGUCCAGCUUGAAUUCUCUACUCUUCUCACCUGAUUCAGAUUUCCAGAAAUCGUUGGCAGAGGUGCAAGGAACCACUGAAAUCCAACAAGGACCUUGGAGAUGUGACAAUUGCACGGAGAACUUAAAAAGAGUAAUUACAUACACAAAGGCUGCAACUAAAUUGAUCAAGGCUGUGAAAGCAACCGAAGAACAGGUAUAUCUGAAAGCUGAUGGGAAGGUUUUUGCAGUUUUGUCAAGCGUAAGCACACCAGAUGUUAUGUAUGGGAGCACCUUCAAGACGGAAUUGCUCUUCUGUAUUACACCUGGACCUGAGCUGCCUAGAGAAGAACUAUCAUCACGGUUGAUAAUAUCAUGGCGCAUGAACUUUAUACAGAGCACUAUGAUGAAAAGUAUGAUAGAAGGUGGGGCACGACAAGGUCUUAAGGACAGCUUUGAGCAGUUUGCUGAUUUGUUAUCUCAAAAUGUUAAGAAGGUUGAUUUGAAGGACCUUGGGUCCGACAAGGAGCUGGUUUUGGCUUCUUUGCAGGUGGAGCCACAGUCAGGUUGGAAGCUCGCAUUCCAAUAUUUUGCAAAUUUUACAGUAGUUUCUACUAUUGUUAUGGGAGUGUAUGUAAUCGCACACAUCUUAUUAGCCAUGCCCAGCUUGGUCCAAGGGCUUGAGUUUGUAGGGCUUGACUUGCCAGACUCAGUUAGUGAAGUGAUUGUAAGUGGAAUUCUUGUUCUUCAGAGCCAACGCCUUUUGGGGUUGAUAGCCCGUUUCCUGCAGGCCAGAGUUCAGAAAGGUAGUGAUCAUGGCAUCAAAGCACAAGGGGAUGGGUGGCUACUAACUGUUGCCUUGAUUGAGGGAAGUAAUAUAGCAGCUGUUGAUUCAAAAGGGUUUUCUGAUCCAUAUGUGGUCUUUACUUGCAAUGGUAAAACUAGAUCGAGCUCUAUCACUUUUCAGAAAGCUGAUCCUGAAUGGAAUGAAAUAUUUGAAUUUGAUGCAAUGGAUGAGCCUCCUUCUGUGUUGGAUGUGGAAGUUUAUGAUUUUGAUGGAUCCUUUGUUGAAGCCGAAUGUCUUGGCCAUGCUGAAAUCAAUUUUGUAAAAUCUAAUAUAUCAGACCUUGCGGAUGUUUGGAUCCCUCUUCAAGGAAGAUUAGCUCAAGCAUGUCAGUCUAAACUGCACCUAAGAAUAUUUUUGAACAAUACAAGAGGUAGCAAUGUUGUUAAGGAGUAUCUAGUAAAGAUGGAGAAGGAGGUUGGGAAAAAGAUAAAUUUGCGGUCACCUCAAACAAAUUCAGCAUUCCAGAAACUGUUCGGGCUUCCACCCGAGGAAUUUCUUAUCAAUGAUUUUACUUGUCACUUGAAGCGCAAAAUGCCACUGCAGGGUCGCCUCUUUCUGUCAGCAAGAAUAAUUGGGUUCCACACAAGCUUGUUUGGACAUAAAACCACAUUCUUCUUUCUCUGGAAGGACAUAGAAGAUAUUCAAGUUUUUCCUGCUACACUUGCCUCAAUGGGCAGUCCAUUCAUUAUCAUUACUCUUCAACAAGGCAGAGGUAUGGAUGCAAGGCAUGGUGCAAAGACACAAGAUGAACAAGGGAGACUGAAGUUCCAUUUCCAAGCUUUUGUAUCCUUCAAUGUUGCCAUUAGGACAAUCAUGGCUGUAUGGAAGGCGAAUUUCUUGAGUCCUGAGCAGAAGGUGGAAAUUGAUGAAGAAGAAUCUGAAACAAAGAACCUCCAAACUGAAGAUAAUGGCUCUAUCUUGGGUGUGGAGGAUGCCAGGAUGUCAGAGGUUUAUUCCUGUCUUCUUCCUGUUCCUAUCAACUUGCUAAUAGAAAUGUUUGGUGGAGGUCCCUUGGAGCGUAAAAUAAUGGAACAAGUUGGAUGUUCCAACUAUUGUUACACACCAUGGGAACUAGAGAAGGCUGACCUAUAUGAAAGGCAAAUUUCUUACAUAUUGGACAAAUCUCUUUUUCGUUACAGUGGAGAAGUGACAAGCACUCAGCAAAAGUCUCCUCUUUCUGAUAGAAAUGGAUGGAUCAUUGAAGAGGUCAUGACAAUCCAAGGAGUUCCACUUGCUGAUCAUUUUACUCUUCACUUAAGAUAUCAAAUUCAGGAUCUCGCCUCCAGAUCUAAGGGAUGUCUAUAUGUUCAAGUAUUCUUUGGCAUUGGGUGGCUGAAAAGCACCAAACAUCAGAAAAAGAUAAAAAAGAGUAUCUCAUCAAAUCUGCAAGAUCGCCUGAAGAAGAUGUUCAGUCUAUUUGAGAAAGAGUAUGUUACAGGAAUGUAGAAUUUGGGGCAUCAGUGCAGGAUUAUUAUGAUGAAACUUCACUGGGUUAUUUUUCUGAUGCAUUGUUUGAUGAUCAACAAACAUACUCUGUUUCAUGCAUGGAUUCAGAGGUAUCCAGUACUUUGGUGAAAUGGAUUUUUUGUGAUCCAAGUGCAGGCAAUAAUUACCUAUCUAUCUGAGAGGACUAGACAUCUAAAUGCUAAAAACUUUUGAUCUUCAUCUUGCCGAUAUGCUGCAUCAAUAUGGUUUGUGUAAACCAUUCUAGAAUGGAUGUCAUUACAGGAAAGUUUUUGGAUUGGCGAUGCAGAUGUCCAUAAGGAGCUUAAUUUAACAUAUCCUAUGAUCAUACAGUCACAAAAGGACCUAUCUGAAUGGGGUUUUCACAGUGCUCAGCCUUGUUUCAACAGCUCUCCCUAUUACUCUCUAGCCUGAGAUUAUGACAGGAGCUAUGAAAGGUAUGUUAGAAACCUUAUGCCUAAUCAGAUAUUUGGCUUUGGGCCUUUCAACAUCUAGAUCUUUCAACCUUCAUUUAUGCAGUAUGAAUUCGAGUUUCCUCUGAAUUAAUUACAGAGUACUCAGACAUCCUUAAGCUACAAACCUUCAAAUCUAUCCAUGGGGCAAUUUUGUUCCAUGGAAUUAAAUCAGGCUUCUAGGGAACCCAUGUAUAUGCAAUGACCUAGUCCUGCAUUGAUGUAUGCUCAGUCUCAUGAGCAACUUAGACAUGCUGUUUUCCAGGCUCCUUUUUAUCACCAACCAUUAAGUUUUGAUUACUCCUAGAACCAUUAGAAAACAGAGGAUACCUGUAUAUCGUUACUCCUGCAGAUCGUUUCAUUUCCUUUCUGUUAGGUACUGCUGAGCGUAGGGAUGCAAUUGAUUUGUUUUUGAUGCACUACCCUUUUAGU